Molecule: long non-coding RNA, 492 nt
Organism: Rhipicephalus sanguineus (brown dog tick)
Lineage: Eukaryota; Metazoa; Arthropoda; Arachnida; Ixodida; Ixodidae
Exons: 3
Source: RefSeq, a predicted model, not a curated record
GCCUUUAACUUUUAUAUGAAUUUAUAACACCACACUAUUCAUGGCCAGUCCCCAGACGUGGUUGUGAGCAACGGCGACUGGGCGAACAGGAACUAGAGCUCGACUCCUGCGGACACUGCUCGGCAGGCUGCGCGUGUCUGUCCUGGACUGUCUGCAGGUCGAGACAUCCGGAGACGCGGCCGCGGAUCCCACAGCUCAUACUGCUGCGGCCUCGGCUUCUUCGCGUCCACCGGGGCGAGGCUUAGGCGACCCCGUGCUUUCUGUCCUGCAUGCAGCAGCAAGCAUUCCAGCGGCGAUACUGGGGCUGCAUUCUUUGUGCGCCCGGUUCCCAGGCAGCGAGCGGGCGUCGUCGCACGUUGACCGUGGAGAAAGAAGAAACCUGACGUACUCAUUAGUGGAGGCAGCCGUAUGGAGCGACAACGUUUUCCCGUCGUCCUGGAACUUCUCAACUGCACUUUAAUUAAAUGAAUGCGUGACAGGCUACAUACAAAC